This 429-nucleotide ribosomal RNA is filed under the name Verrucomicrobiota bacterium. Its description in RNAcentral is "Verrucomicrobia bacterium partial 16S ribosomal RNA". It matches the Rfam family "Bacterial small subunit ribosomal RNA", at positions 355 to 776 of the family's 1533-position model. The record is from RNAcentral. Lineage: Bacteria; Pseudomonadati; Verrucomicrobiota.
UAGGGAAUAUUCCACAAUGAGCGAAAGCUUGAUGGAGCGACACAGCGUGCACGAUGAAGGUCUUCGGAUUGUAAAGUGCUGUUAUAAGGGAAGAACAUUUGCAAUAGGAAAUGAUUGCAGACUGACGGUACCUAACCAGAAAGCCACGGCUAACUACGUGCCAGCAGCCGCGGUAAUACGUAGGUGGCAAGCGUUGUCCGGAAUUAUUGGGCGUAAAGCGCGCGCAGGUGGUUUAGAAAGUCUGAUGUGAAAGCCCACGGCUCAACCGUGGAGGGUCAUUGGAAACUAAUAAACUUGAGUGCAGGAGAGAAAAGUGGAAUUCCUAGUGUAGCGGUGAAAUGCGUAGAGAUUAGGAGGAACACCGGUGGCGAAAGCGGCUUUUUGGCCUGCAACUGACACUGAGGCGCGAAAGCGUGGGGAGCAAACGGG